This 497-nucleotide long non-coding RNA is filed under the name Zostera marina. Its description in RNAcentral is "long non-coding RNA (ZMAR_LNC005743)". The record is from RNAcentral. Lineage: Eukaryota; Viridiplantae; Streptophyta; Magnoliopsida; Alismatales; Zosteraceae.
UUUGAAUUAAAUAUAGAUAUUGAUCAAAUUGAUUGAAUAAUCAAUUUUAAAUCCAUUUAUAAUGAUAAGAAGUAGAAAUACCAGAUCAUAUUGAUCAACCUAUCUUGAUAAACGAUACUUAGAAUUACUGGAUGGUUUGUACCACAUUUAAUACUAUAUAAUCAUAAAAGAAGGCAAAUAACACUACAAGAAAUAAGACCUUGUAUGGCGGUCUUUAGAUGGCGGAUUUCCGCCAUUAAAACCCCUAAUCCGCCAUCUAAAGACCGCCAUCUUGGACACCGCCAUUAAAACCCCUAAACCGCCAUCUAAAGACCGCCAUCUAUUAUCCAUCCCCAUUUCCCACCAAAAAUUGUAUAGAUGGCGGAUUUCCGCCAUCUAAUCUGAAAAUUUUCGCGCGAACUGAAAAGUUUUAGAUGGCGGAAAUCCGCCAUCUAAAAUAUGGCGCGGGAAUAGUUUGGCGUCAAUUCAUUGAUGGCGGUUAAUUUCAUUGAUGGCGG